This 24-nucleotide small RNA is filed under the name Arabidopsis thaliana (thale cress). RNAcentral's name for it is "nad7". Lineage: Eukaryota; Viridiplantae; Streptophyta; Magnoliopsida; Brassicales; Brassicaceae. The record is from RNAcentral.
UCUGAACGAAUUAGAUCCUUGGUA